RNAcentral lists this ribosomal RNA (305 nucleotides) under uncultured bacterium. RNAcentral describes it as "bacterial SSU rRNA". It matches the Rfam family "Bacterial small subunit ribosomal RNA", at positions 334 to 655 of the family's 1533-position model. The record is from RNAcentral.
UAGUCCUACGGGGGGCAGCAGUGGGGAAUAUUGCACAAUGGGGGAAACCCUGAUGCAGCAACGCCGCGUGGGUGAAGGAGCGUUUCGGCGCGUAAAGCCCUGUCAGCGGGGAAGAUAAAAGACUGUACCUAAGGAGGAAGCCCCGGCUAACUAUGUGCCAGCAGCCGCGGUAAUACAUAGGGGGCAAGCGUUAUCCGGAAUUAUUGGGUGUAAAGGGUGCGUAGACGGAGAAACAAGUUGGUUGUGAAAUCCCUCGGCUCAACUGAGGAACUGCAACCAAAACUAUUUCCCUUGAGUGUCGGAGG